UUAAUGUGUAUGAUAAUGGGUCCAAUAGUCUAGAUAAUCAUUGGAGGCACCACAGGCCUGGUGUUUAUCUGGGUAUUGGAAUUAUCAUUCAUGAUAUGAUGAUUUAAUUAUAACUCUUUGAUGGAUGGUCGGUAGGUCGAGCUACACUCGAGCCUAAUCAUCUGUUAAUUAGAUGCACUGAGUACGUUCAUGUUAAUAGUUGAAUGUAAUUAAGAUUUUUAGUGGAGGUGCUACAUGCCUACUGA
This 245-nucleotide long non-coding RNA is filed under the name Elaeis guineensis (African oil palm). Its description in RNAcentral is "long non-coding RNA (EGUI_LNC036346)". Lineage: Eukaryota; Viridiplantae; Streptophyta; Magnoliopsida; Arecales; Arecaceae. The record is from RNAcentral.